AUUGAACGCUGGCGGCAUGCCUUACACAUGCAAGUCGAACGGCAGCACGGGUGCUUGCACCUGGUGGCGAGUGGCGAACGGGUGAGUAAUACAUCGGAACGUACCUUAUCGUGGGGGAUAACGCAGCGAAAGCUGUGCUAAUACCGCAUACGCCCUGAGGGGGAAAGCGGGGGAUCGCAAGACCUCGCGCGAUUCGAGCGGCCGAUGCCUGAUUAGCUAGUUGGUGGGGUAAAAGCCCACCAAGGCGACGAUCAGUAGCGGGUCUGAGAGGACGAUCAGCCACACUGGGACUGAGACACGGCCCAGACUCCUACGGGAGGCAGCAGUGGGGAAUUUUGGACAAUGGGGGCAACCCUGAUCCAGCAAUGCCGCGUGAGUGAAGAAGGCCUUCGGGUUGUAAAGCUCUUUUGUCAGGGAAGAAACACCGGCUCUAACACAGUCCGGGAAUGACGGUACCUGAAGAAUAAGCACCGGCUAACUACGUGCCAGCAGCCGCAGUAA
This 501-nucleotide ribosomal RNA is filed under the name uncultured bacterium. RNAcentral's name for it is "partial 16S ribosomal RNA". It matches the Rfam family "Bacterial small subunit ribosomal RNA", at positions 29 to 523 of the family's 1533-position model. The record is from RNAcentral.